ACUCAAAGGAAUAGACGGGGACCCGCACAAGCGGUGGAUGAUGUGGUUUAAUUCGAUGCAACGCGAAAAACCUUACCUACUCUUGACAUGUCAAGAAAUCGUCAGAGAUGACUUUGUGCUCGAAAGAGAACUUGAACACAGGUGCUGCAUGGCCGUCGUCAGCUCGUGUCGUGAGAUGUUGGGUUAAGUCCCGCAACGAGCGCAACCCUUAUCGUUAGUUGCUACGCAAGGGCACUCUAAUGAGACUGCCGGUGACAAACCGGAGGAAGGUGGGGAUGACGUCAGGUCAUCAUGGCCCUUAUGAGUAGGGCUACACACGUCAUACAAUGGCCGGUACAGAGGGUUGCCAACCCGCGAGGGGGAGCUAAUCUCAGAAAACCGGUCGUAGUCCGGAUCGUAGUCUGCAACUCGACUGCGUGAAGUCGGAAUCGCUAGUAAUCGCGGAUCAGCUUGCCGCGGUGAAUACGUUCCCGGGUCUUGUACACACCGCCCGU
RNAcentral lists this ribosomal RNA (494 nucleotides) under uncultured bacterium. RNAcentral describes it as "partial 16S ribosomal RNA". It matches the Rfam family "Bacterial small subunit ribosomal RNA", at positions 899 to 1397 of the family's 1533-position model. The record is from RNAcentral.